UUUUUUUUGUUUUUUUUUAGUAGAGAUGGGGUUUCACCAUGUUGGCCAGGCUGGUCUUGAACUCCUGACCUCAGAUGAUCCCCCGCCUUGGCCUCCCAAAGUGCUGGGAUUACAGGCAUGAGCCACCGUGCCCAGCAGAAAGAAUCACUUCUUAAUGAUCACCCGGCACAUUAAUGCCUCAAGGACAGACUUCCUUCAAAAUCUAUGGCUCAGGUAGACAAUGUCACAUCUCUUUAGCCUGAGUUCUUCUUGCCUAGUGUCUUCCUAUAAACACCAUCUACCCUACAGCCACACCUAGCUGAAGGCUGCUGGGCUUUGCAGACCCCUCGGUUUGGGAGUAAAGGAAUAUAGAAGCAGAGGAGGUCCCUGGUGAGCAUCUUGGUUUACUUCCCCAGGCUCCCCCUCGGCCAUGGGCAGGGCAGGGACAGUGAGGGCAUCCAGAGAGAAUGGCAGGCCACAACUUGCUGGGCUGCUUCUUUGCAAGAAAAUACCAUAGCUUCAUUCCAACACUCAGUCAGCCAUGAGAUAAACAGCAUAGUUUAUAAGCAUAUAAAUAGUAUCUUAUAUAAACUGCACUAUUUUUUAGAAACUACCUAAAAAACAGUUGAUUUAGUGGUAUUCAGAGUCCCUAUAAAUGGACAAAUUAAGUAACUUAGCUAGGCAUGCAUACAGCUAUCCAACACCGUGUAUACUCAUAUAUAUGCACACAUGAGCCUAUGUUCACAUGGGCCACCUAAUCCUGCACGAACACCCCUGAAUACAAUUCAUGUCUUAGACCGCGAUGCAUGACAGCUUUCAUAAGAGCAACCUGUUUUCACAUUCAUUCAGAAGUGAAUGUUUUCAUAUGAGAUUUGAAAAACAUUAGUUUAGACAUUUUCAGGUUAUUAGAGUGAAAAAAAAAACUAUCAGAGACUUUUACAAAACCAUUAUUUCAAAAAUAGCUAAGCAUCAGACUUCAUAACCUUAUUUUAGAAAUUCUAUUUGCAUAAUUCUUGGUAAGAUACAAUAUAAAUUCACUCUAACGCUGGGGAGUGUCUUACAAAGAGGCCAUCUAACUUGGCAACGUUCAGUCUCUGAGUGAGAGCUGUAACUCGUGCUGACUGCUGCACACAUAUGUGACGAUGAGGACACCGAAGCCCUGGGCACAGUUUUGCAAGGGCUGGCUUAGUUUUAACUUCAUGAGUUUAUUAAGGUAAUAUACUCCAUUUUUGUAUGCAUAUAUCCCCCAAAUAAUGCUUCAUUUAUCUAGAACCCU
Molecule: long non-coding RNA, 1255 nt
Filed under: Macaca fascicularis (crab-eating macaque)
Lineage: Eukaryota; Metazoa; Chordata; Mammalia; Primates; Cercopithecidae
Description: lncRNA (ENSMFAG00000050512.1)
Source: RNAcentral